UGGCUUAGUGGUAGAGUGCUUGCCUACCAUGCAUGAAGUCCUGGGUUCGAUUCCCCAG
This 58-nucleotide transfer RNA is filed under the name Dipodomys ordii (Ord's kangaroo rat). It matches the Rfam family "tRNA", at positions 8 to 63 of the family's 71-position model. Rfam says of the family: Transfer RNA (tRNA) molecules are approximately 80 nucleotides in length. Their secondary structure includes four short double-helical elements and three loops (D, anti-codon, and T loops). Lineage: Eukaryota; Metazoa; Chordata; Mammalia; Rodentia; Heteromyidae. The record is from Rfam by way of RNAcentral.